Molecule: ribosomal RNA, 487 nt
Filed under: uncultured bacterium
Lineage: Bacteria
Description: bacterial SSU rRNA
Rfam family: Bacterial small subunit ribosomal RNA
Source: RNAcentral
CUACGUGCCAGCAGCCGCGGUAAUACGUAGGUGGCAAGCGUUGUCCGGAAUUAUUGGGUGUAAAGCGCGCGCAGGCGGAUUGGUCAGUCUGUCUUAAAAGUUCGGGGCUUAACCCCGUGAUGGGAUGGAAACUGCCAAUCUAGAGUAUCGGAGAGGAAAGUGGAAUUCCUAGUGUAGCGGUGAAAUGCGUAGAUAUUAGGAAGAACACCAGUGGCGAAGGCGACUUUCUGGACGAAAACUGACGCUGAGGCGCGAAAGCCAGGGGAGCGAACGGGAUUAGAUACCCCGGUAGUCCUGGCCGUAAACGAUGGGUACUAGGUGUAGGAGGUAUCGACCCCUUCUGUGCCGGAGUUAACGCAAUAAGUACCCCGCCUGGGGAGUACGACCGCAAGGUUGAAACUCAAAGGAAUUGACGGGGGCCCGCACAAGCGGUGGAGUAUGUGGUUUAAUUCGACGCAACGCGAAGAACCUUACCAGGUCUUGACAU